CCUACGGGCGGGCAGCAGUGGGGAAUAUUGGACAAUGGGGGCAACCCUGAUCCAGCCAUGCCGCGUGUGUGAAGAAGGCCCUCGGGUUGUAAAGCACUUUCAGUGAGGAAGAACGCCUGGUGGUUAAUACCCAUCAGGAAAGACAUCACUCACAGAAGAAGCACCGGCUAACUCCGUGCCAGCAGCCGCGGUAAUACGGAGGGUGCGAGCGUUAAUCGGAAUUACUGGGCGUAAAGCGCGCGUAGGUGGCUUGAUAAGCCGGUUGUGAAAGCCCCGGGCUCAACCUGGGAACGGCAUCCGGAACUGUCAAGCUAGAGUGCAGGAGAGGAAGGUAGAAUUCCCGGUGUAGCGGUGAAAUGCGUAGAGAUCGGGAGGAAUACCAGUGGCGAAGGCGGCCUUCUGGACUGACACUGACACUGAGGUGCGAAAGCGUGGGUAGCAAACAGGAUUAGAUACCCUGGUAGUC
Molecule: ribosomal RNA, 466 nt
Filed under: Vreelandella stevensii
Lineage: Bacteria; Pseudomonadati; Pseudomonadota; Gammaproteobacteria; Oceanospirillales; Halomonadaceae
Description: partial 16S ribosomal RNA
Rfam family: Bacterial small subunit ribosomal RNA
Source: RNAcentral